RNAcentral lists this ribosomal RNA (492 nucleotides) under uncultured bacterium. RNAcentral describes it as "partial 16S ribosomal RNA". It matches the Rfam family "Bacterial small subunit ribosomal RNA", at positions 28 to 507 of the family's 1533-position model. The record is from RNAcentral.
GAUGAACGCUCGCUACAGGCUUAACACAUGCAAGUCGAGGGGAAACGACAUCGAAAGCUUGCUUUUGAUGGGCGUCGACCGGCGCACGGGUGAGUAACGCGUAUCCAACCUGCCCAUCACUUGGGAAUAACCUUGCGAAAGUAAGACUAAUACCCAAUGACAUCCCACGAAGCCAUCUGAAUGGGAUUAAAGAUUUAUCGGUGAUGGAUGGGGAUGCGUCUGAUUAGCUUGUUGGCGGGGUAACGGCCCACCAAGGCAACGAUCAGUAGGGGUUCUGAGAGGAAGGUCCCCCACAUUGGAACUGAGACACGGUCCAAACUCCUACGGGAGGCAGCAGUGAGGAAUAUUGGUCAAUGGGCGAGAGCCUGAACCAGCCAAGUAGCGUGCAGGAUGACGGCCCUAUGGGUAGUAAACUGCUUUUAGAAGGGAAUAAAGUGGGUCUCGUGAGACUUUUUGCAUGUACCUUAUGAAUAAGGACCGGCUAAUUCCGUG